This 395-nucleotide unclassified non-coding RNA is filed under the name Hevea brasiliensis (rubber tree). The record is from RNAcentral. Lineage: Eukaryota; Viridiplantae; Streptophyta; Magnoliopsida; Malpighiales; Euphorbiaceae.
AUCAGCAUAACAAAUAUCUAGACCAUGAACUACCAGUCUCAUUUUAUUAGUAUAAAUGAGAAUGCUCCUUGCUUGGUUUAAUCACAAACGAGAAUAGAAACAAGGGCAUGAUGAUGGCAUGUUCGUUUUAUUAGGAAUCAUGACCAGUUUUUUGAUUAAUGGAUAGGAGGAAUACAGGAAUUGCUGCAAUUUUACAUGACAAAUGCUACAAAAACUUCAUUGUAUGUGCUAGCAUACCCUGGUUUUCUUGUAUCCUGGUAUACAGCCAGGCAUUGUUGCACUUCUUUUAGAGAACCAUACCUGGUGAGCUUUUAGCAAUGUAUUAUACGUCACCUGAAGAAGGUAAAAGACCAUUGGUGAUUUAUUCAAGCUAAAUUGAAUUUGCAGUAGCUUAA